AAGUAGCUCUCGUUGGUGACAGCGGAGGGAUCAUU
This 35-nucleotide ribosomal RNA is filed under the name Trichoderma atroviride. RNAcentral describes it as "partial 18S ribosomal RNA". The record is from RNAcentral. Lineage: Eukaryota; Fungi; Ascomycota; Sordariomycetes; Hypocreales; Hypocreaceae.